UACACAUGCAAGUCGAACGAUGAACCUCACUUGUGGGGGGAUUAGUGGCGAACGGGUGAGUAACACGUGAGUAACCUGCCCUUGACUCUGGGAUAAGCCUGGGAAACCGGGUCUAAUACUGGAUACGACCUUCUGGCGCAUGCCAUGUUGGUGGAAAGCUUUUGUGGUUUUGGAUGGACUCGCGGCCUAUCAGCUUGUUGGUGGGGUAAUGGCCUACCAAGGCGACGACGGGUAGCCGGCCUGAGAGGGUGACCGGCCACACUGGGACUGAGACACGGCCCAGACUCCUACGGGAGGCAGCAGUGGGGAAUAUUGCACAAUGGGCGCAAGCCUGAUGCAGCGACGCCGCGUGAGGGAUGAAGGCCUUCGGGUUGUAAACCUCUUUCAGUAGGGAAGAAGCCUGUCUUUUGGGUGGGUGACGGUACCUGCAGAAGAAGCGCCGGCUAACUACGUGCCAGCAGCCGCGGUAAUACGUAGGGCGCAAGCGUUAUCCGGAAUUAUUGGGCGUAAAGAGCUCGUAGGCGGUUUGUCGCGUCUGCCGUGAAAGUCCGGGGCUUAACUCCGGAUCUGCGGUGGGUACGGGCAGACUAGAGUGCAGUAGGGGAGACUGGAAUUCCUGGUGUAGCGGUGAAAUGCGCAGAUAUCAGGAGGAACACCGAUGGCGAAGGCAGGUCUCUGGGCUGUAACUGACGCUGAGGAGCGAAAGCAUGGGGAGCGAACAGGAUUAGAUACCCUGGUAGUCCAUGCCGUAAACGUUGGGCACUA
This 765-nucleotide ribosomal RNA is filed under the name unidentified microorganism. RNAcentral describes it as "bacterial SSU rRNA". It matches the Rfam family "Bacterial small subunit ribosomal RNA", at positions 50 to 818 of the family's 1533-position model. The record is from RNAcentral.